Molecule: ribosomal RNA, 253 nt
Filed under: uncultured bacterium
Lineage: Bacteria
Description: partial 16S ribosomal RNA
Rfam family: Bacterial small subunit ribosomal RNA
Source: RNAcentral
UACGGAGGGAGCUAGCGUUGUUCGGAAUUACUGGGCGUAAAGCGCGCGUAGGCGGCUUUGUAAGUUAGAGGUGAAAGCCUGGAGCUCAACUUCAGAAUUGCCUUUAAGACUGCAUCGCUUGAAUCCGGGAGAGGUGAGUGGAAUUCCGAGUGUAGAGGUGAAAUUCGUAGAUAUUCGGAAGAACACCGAUGGCGAAGGCAGCCAUCUGGACCGACACUGACGCUGAGGCGCGAAAGCGUGGGGAGCAAACAGG